UACGUAGGGUGCGAGCGUUAAUCGGAAUUACUGGGCGUAAAGCGUGCGCAGGCGGUGAUGUAAGACAGAUGUGAAAUCCCCGGGCUUAACCUUGGAACUGCAUUUGUGACUGCAUAGCUAGAGUACGGUAGAGGGGGAUGGAAUUCCGCGUGUAGCAGUGAAAUGCGUAGAUAUGCGGAGGAACACCGAUGGCGAAGGCAAUCCCCUGGACCUGUACUGACGCUCAUGCACGAAAGCGUGGGGAGCAAACAGG
RNAcentral lists this ribosomal RNA (253 nucleotides) under uncultured bacterium. RNAcentral's name for it is "partial 16S ribosomal RNA". It matches the Rfam family "Bacterial small subunit ribosomal RNA", at positions 524 to 776 of the family's 1533-position model. The record is from RNAcentral.